AUUCCAGCUCCAAUAGCGUAUAUUAAAGUUGUUGCAGUUAAAAAGCUCGUAGUUGGAUCUCAGGGUGAGCUCAGUUGGUCGGCCUAAUUGGUCAGAACUGGCCGACUCUCCCUUGUUUCUGAAUCCCGGUCGGAGUUAAUUCUUCGUUCGUGGACUUCAGAUCGUUUACCUUGAAAAAAUUAGAGUGUUCAAAGCGGGCGUUUGCUUGAAUACAUUAGCAUGGAAUAAUGGAAUAGGACCCUGGUUCUAUUUUGUUGGUUUUGAGGACCAGAGUAAUGAUUAAUAGGGAUAGUUGGGGGCAUUCAUAUUUAAUUGUCAGAGGUGAAAUUCUUGGAUUUAUGAAAGAUGAACUUCUGCGAAAGCAUUUGCCAAGGAUGUUUUCAUUG
RNAcentral lists this ribosomal RNA (386 nucleotides) under Telonemia sp. RNAcentral's name for it is "partial small subunit ribosomal RNA". It matches the Rfam family "Eukaryotic small subunit ribosomal RNA", at positions 582 to 975 of the family's 1831-position model. The record is from RNAcentral. Lineage: Eukaryota; Telonemia.